AGAUUGAACGCUGGCGGCAGGCCUAACACAUGCAAGUCGAGCGGUAGAGAGGUGCUUGCAUCUCUUGAGAGCGGCGGACGGGUGAGUAAUGCCUAGGAAUCUGCCUAGUGGUGGGGGAUAACGUUCGGAAACGGACGCUAAUACCGCAUACGUCCUACGGGAGAAAGCGGGGGACCUUCGGGCCUCGCGCCAUUAGAUGAGCCUAGGUCGGAUUAGCUAGUUGGUGAGGUAAUGGCUCACCAAGGCGACGAUCCGUAACUGGUCUGAGAGGAUGAUCAGUCACACUGGAACUGAGACACGGUCCAGACUCCUACGGGAGGCAGCAGUGGGGAAUAUUGGACAAUGGGCGAAAGCCUGAUCCAGCCAUGCCGCGUGUGUGAAGAAGGUCUUCGGAUUGUAAAGCACUUUAAGUUGGAGGAAGGUUGUAACCUAAGUACGUUGCAACUUUGACGUUACGACAGAAUAAGCACGCUAACUUCGUGCCAGCAGCCGACGG
Molecule: ribosomal RNA, 496 nt
Filed under: uncultured soil bacterium
Lineage: Bacteria
Description: bacterial SSU rRNA
Rfam family: Bacterial small subunit ribosomal RNA
Source: RNAcentral